UUUAGAUCAUUGAUUAAACAGCUGACCGGAACUAUGUUUGAGGGGGUUCAUUUCCGAUUCCAGCGGUCACCUGCCAACCAAUCAGAAACGAAUUUUUCCGUGACCUCCACCGUCAGUCAGGACAUGAUGUAAACCUUGAGUUGAAGGUGAAUCAGCAGAAACCUGGAGGAGAUGGACACAGGACAAGGGAGAGUAUGACCAUUUCAAAGCAACAGUCCCGUUGCCAGGCGGUGAAUGGAGCUCGUCCUUUGAGUUUGGAGGGCCAGGCCUGUGUUUUCUGGAGGGGCUGUCCUCAAAGUUUGGAGCACCCUGGAGUGGACACACACACACACACACGUGCUUCAGGUUGAUGAUCCUUAACUCUGGGUCCGAACCGAAGGCAGACAUGUCACUGUGGAUGCUCUCAUCAGUCCCCUACGUAGUUUUUAAUGCAUGUUCCUGGAUUGAGGCUGCACUUGUUCAAACAAACUUGAACUCUUCAUCAGCCAGAAGAUGUAAAAAUAUUCAUCAAACUAAUUUUUGAUAGUUAGUCACCUGGAGGAACAGAAAAAAAGAGGAAAACACAGCGAGCAUGCAACUGAGACAGAUAGAAAUCUUUAAACACCAGUACUGCCAUGGUGCUGUUCACUCAACAGAGGGCUGAGAGUGAAUGCCUGAGAGUAUAAAAAAACAACCAAGAAUCAACGAGAAGGAGAAUGACUCUGCUACCAUGGCAGAGUCAAACAGACUCAGCUCAGAAACUGUAAUCCCAACAAGGAGCACAGGGAGGACAGAGAGGGAUGUGAGAAAUGGAAGGGGAGAGGGUCUGUCAUGGAGGAAAAUAGUGUCUGUAUUCCCCAGUAAAUCGAUGUUGUUGAGAAGUUUGGGCCUUGCCAGUAAAGUGAAGAAACGGCAGUGGCAGCUGCACCCAGUUUUGUGCCUGCUGACAGAGAGGAGGCUUUUGUUUGCAGCACAGGCGGCACAGUGAACAGCAUAGGGUGGCAUCGUCUGGAAUGUGACAUUAUUGUUUUUUUAAUGGAGGCUGGGUCAAAAUGGGGCACUCUACAGGGGCAAUUAAGAGAGAAAUUUGUGUGUGUGUGUGUGUGUGUGUGUGUGUGCAUACUAUAAUGUAUGUGUGCCAGUUGUAGCAAGUACUACAGCCAAAGUGUAGUUUUAAGCAUAUACUUUAUUUUGCCUAAAAACACAGCAGCUUGUUGUAACAGAAAAAUGUAAGUUACUUCUUGUACUGUAUAGUUAACACCAACGUCAAUGUUGUAACUAGUCAGUUUCUCACUAAACAUGCUACUUUGUUCAGCUGCACCAUGUCCACUUAUGCUAUAACUUAAUUAAAGCAAAACAUUGUCA
Molecule: long non-coding RNA, 1344 nt
Organism: Micropterus dolomieu (smallmouth bass)
Lineage: Eukaryota; Metazoa; Chordata; Actinopteri; Centrarchiformes; Centrarchidae
Exons: 6
Source: RefSeq, a predicted model, not a curated record